Carya illinoinensis is the source of this 4006-nucleotide long non-coding RNA. RefSeq lists it as uncharacterized. The transcript is spliced from 2 exons. NCBI's taxonomy places the organism in Eukaryota, Viridiplantae, Streptophyta, Magnoliopsida, Fagales, Juglandaceae. The record is from RefSeq and is a predicted model, not a curated record.
UGAAUGGGCAAAAUGAGAGAGCAUACUAACAUUAUUCAAAAUAAUAUUGUGAUAAUAUUUUAUUUAACUUUCAAUUUUUAUCUAGACUCGUAUUAUUUUAACUCACCAUCCAAACCUCUCCUAUCAAUUAUAACCCGAAGUGCAAGGUAUAAAUCAUGAAUGGGUUGUAUGAUAUUUAUCAAUAAGAUUAGAUGGUAUCUUCUCUAGCACUAAAAGCACUCGCAUCCGGCUCCCCAUCCCUUCCGCAUCCUCAUAUUUUGGGAAUAUUUGUAGGGUUUGCUUUAAAACCCUCCUCCAUCCGGUUCCCCAAAAUGGGGAUAAACUUUCCGAUCGCUACAGUAGGUCCCCAUAUAUGGGGACUCACUGUACAUCCCCAAAUGUGAUUUCGGUUCCCUCUCUCCUUCGACAUCCCGCGUCUUCUACCUUGCGACGGUUGGCUGCCCUUCAUCUCUCCAACUUCCCUGAAUCUCGCAUCACGCCGGUAUGCCCAUUCCAGAUUUUCCAAACUUUGAUUGAUAUUUGAUUCUACAAUCCCCAGCCCUACCCGAAAUGUUACUUUGUUUCUUUUGAUUUCAUUUUCAUAAAUUUCGCAUCAAAUUUCAACGGUGGUAGGUUUGUUUUUUAGGCUGUUUUUGGACAAAUUAGGACAAGGGUUCAAAGGGUUUUGGGUUGGAAAAAAACCCUAAAUAUUCAGGGGACCUCCGGUUUCGAAUUUGGGGAUUUUUUGGGAACUGAUUUUGUUGAGUUUAUUUGGGGCAUUUUGAUAUCUUUAACUGCGAUGGAUUCUAUUACCUGGGAUUGUGAUUAUGCUUGGCUAUCUUCGGGUGGGGUUGUGAUUAUGCUUGACUAUAUUCUUUUUUCGUUGUGAUUUCGUUGGUAUUUUUCUUCUCUGUGAUUAUAUCGGCAUGACUCUAUUUGAUAGUUGGAAUCAGUGUUUGUUUGUGGUUCUGUGAUUAUGCUCAAUGGAAGGGGGACGUGAAGUUUGGUGCUUUCUGUUGGCUUUUUUCCAGUAAUCUCUUCACUUUGUAAAUGCUUGGAUGUGUGCCAUACCUUUCUUGAAUCUGUGAUGAUCGAACAUAUUAUGCAUCUGUUGGCUGAUUGUCAGCAGUUGAUUGUGUAAACUAAACCUGGUUGAACCUCUUAUUUUUUUACUAUUCUAGACCUUUGGUUAAAUAUUGGUUUAAUUACACCGAAUUUGGUUGCUUUUCAUUGUAGAUCUUGUUUCUAUUUUUUUUUUGGACAAUAUUGGUUUCUUUUGUGGGUCAUGGUUUCAUGGAAUUGUUCUUGGUUUCAUUAAAUUGUUCUUGGUUUCAGAAACAGUCUUAGUUUCUUUGUAGUUCUUGGUUUCAUGAAUUUGAUGGAGGAAUCUUUUGUAGUUCUUGGUUUCUUGGUUAGUUCUUGGUUUCAUGAAAUAUUUCAAAUUAUUAUUUGUAAAUCUUGGUUUCAUUUGUACUUCUUGGGUUGAGUUAAUUUGAUGAUAGUGUUUCAUUACUAGUUCUUGGUUUUUUUUGUACAAAUGGUUACCAAGUUAAUUCUUGGUUUCAUGAAAUUUUCCAGAAUUGGUUUUGUAGUUCUUGGUUUCAUUUGUACUUCUUGGGUUCAUGAAUUUGAUUUGGUUUCAUUACUAGUUCUUGGUUUCUUUUGAUCUUAUUGGUUUCAUGCAUCAGAUUUGGUUUUGAAAUCUAGUUAUUGGUUUCUUUUGUACUUCUUGGUUGCAUGAAAAUUUUCCAAAACAUAUUGUAGUUCACUUGGGUUUCUUUUGUUUUAAAUAUAUAAUCUACAGAGGGAAAUCAUGUAUAUCCAAUUCGGUUAUUCUUCUGUUUGCUACUUCAUCUUUUGGAGUCUAUGAUUAUUGUUGUUAUAGAAUAGAUUUUGAGGCUUGAGUUUUUGGUUUUUGGCAUAGACUUACAGUUAUAAUGCCGGUCCAAAAGGUAGUAAUUCCAUGCUUGAGUUUUUGGUUUUUGGCAUAGAUGUUCUUAUGUGUGUUGAGACACCUUGUUGGCUGUCUAUAAUUGAUAUUGAGUAUUGGAUAUUAACUUCCCAAUUAUAAUCACCAAACUUAAUGAUUUACAACUUGAGUUCUCAAGUUUACUUGUGAUAUUAUUUAACUAAUUUUGGACAAUGCUUUUGUUGGGGCUUUCGGACUCCUAUCCUUGGUAUAAAAUAACACAUUCAUUUUGAUAUUUGAUAUUGAGCCAUUUGCAGUGUUGCGUAUCUCUCAGGGGAGGGGGUUUAUAUUAGGCUGUGAUGAUGGUGUUAUAGUUUGGGUUAAGUCUGAAGUGUGUAUGAGGCCCCAUCGAUAUGGCGGGGUAAUUUUCACCCGAAUUGCCAUAUUGCAGUUUGUGGUACAUACCACAAAAGACAAUUGGGGUUCGGGUGAGAUUUUGCAGCCAUUCGAUGUUGGGCUCCUUGCUUACACAUGAUGUCAAUAUUUACAUCAUUCUGAGCCUUUAUAAUUAUUUAUAUAUUCGAUAUAUUAUUAAACCGGAUGGGGAUGCUCGUAUUUUUUGUUAUUUUGUUUUGCAUGUUGUUUGGUAUCUUGAUUUAAUUUGGUUUAAUUAUGUGUAAACUAAACCACAAGGCUGUGAUGAUGAGGACCGUUUGUGGGGAUCAUGUGAAAUAAAUGGUCAUUUCCCUAAUGGCUAGGUAAUCAGGACGGCCAAUAAGUAUUGGCAACGGGUUGUAGCAGCCAUCAGUGGGUGGCCAACUUUCCAAGAUCAUACCAAACGGUUUAUGAGCCAUCCACCCGGACUAACACCCCAAACUUUUCAACUUUUGUUUUUAACAUUUUCAAUGCGUUUUUAGCGAUGGAUUCACAAGACUCUGGACAUAUGUUCUUUACGAAUCUCUUAAGUCAAGAUCUUCAACUCGACAGCACUUAUGGUGGGCAAAGUGGAUCAUCUCCAAUGACCCUUGGUGACUCUUCACCCCUACCCCCUAAUGAGUCUAUCGGCAAUAGGAAAUCAGUGAGGGGUGCAAAUUUCAACCUCGAAAAAGACAAGUUACUUGUAUCAGCAUAGAUAAAUUGUAGCCUUGAUGCCGUUCAGGAAACAGAUCAAAAACACUCCCAACUUUGGGAGAAAAUUUAUGAGUACUUCCAGCAAUUUAAGGAAACCACAAAUGACCGGACAAUAAAGUCUUUAAUUCAUCGGUGGUCGGUUAUCCAAAAGGCCACAAACAAAUUUUGUGCGAAACUAGCCCAAGUUGAAGGAUUAAAUCAAAGUGGCAUGACCGAACAAGAUAAGUUUGAUAAGGCGAAGCUAAUGUACCAAUCACUCGAGAAAUGCUCAUUUCAGUUCGAGCAUUGUUGGCACCUGUUGAAGGACCAACCUAAGUGGAUUUGGCGCGCCACAAAGGAGGAUCCAAAACGAAGGAAGACGAUGUCCCCAUCCCCGACCCCAACUCAAUGUUUAGACGCUACAUUGAUUCAGUUUUUGAUAUCGAGGCAGAUCAAAUGCUGGAGAAUGAAGUUAUCGAGCCUGACCGACCAAUUGGAAGGAAAGCUGAGAAAGGAAAACGAAAGGCCUAAGGCAGGCAAGCAUAGAAGAAUUUCCAACUCGUGAAGAUGAAAUAUACUCUUUUGGAUGAGUCACGCGCUCAGGAGAAAGAGUUUUAUCACCUUAAAGCCUAGAAGAUGGAGUAUGAAAAGGAGACAGAGGCCAGAAAAUUACAUCUUGAGGAUGAAAGACUGAGGUUGGAGGCUGAGAAGAUGCCGCUUGAUCGAGAAAAAGAGCUCAGUAAAAUCCGACAAGAGGACGAACGGCUGCGGUUGGAGGCUGAGAAAGUGGAGAUCGCGAAGAAGGAAUCAGAUCAGCGCAUCAUGAUGAUGGAUGUGAGUGUCAUGCCAGAAAUGCAGCGGCUUUAUUUCCAGCAACUCCAGAGGGAAAUCAUGGCGAGACGCAUUAGAGAUGCCGAUUUGGAUUGAUUAUUUAUGAUCAUGUUAUUUAUUUUAUGUUUGGGACAAUUAUGUUUGGGACAAUUAUUUUAUGAAGCGGGUCUUGAUUAC